Molecule: ribosomal RNA, 460 nt
Filed under: uncultured bacterium
Lineage: Bacteria
Description: partial 16S ribosomal RNA
Rfam family: Bacterial small subunit ribosomal RNA
Source: RNAcentral
CCUACGGGAGGCAGCAGUGAGGAAUAUUGGUCAAUGGACGAGAGCCUGAACCAGCCAAGUAGCGUGAAGGAUGAAGGCCCUAUGGGUUGUAAACUUCUUUUAUAAAGGAAUAAAACGAGGCACGCGUGCCUUUUUGCAUGUACUUUAUGAAUAAGGAUCGGCUAACUCCGUGCCAGCAGCCGCGGUAAUACGGAGGAUCCGAGCGUUAUCCGGAUUUAUUGGGUUUAAAGGGAGCGUAGAUGGGUUGGUAAGUCAGUUGUGAAAGUUUGCGGCUCAACCGUAAAAUUGCAAUUGAUACUGGCAGUCUUGAGUACAUUUGAGGUAAGCGGAAUGCGUGGUGUAGCGGUGAAAUGCUUAGAUAUCACGAAGAACCCCGAUUGCGAAGGCAGCUUACUAAACUGUGACUGACAUUGAUGCUCGAAAGUGUGGGGAUCAAACAGGAUUAGAUACCCUUGUAGUC